This 590-nucleotide ribosomal RNA is filed under the name uncultured bacterium. RNAcentral's name for it is "bacterial SSU rRNA". It matches the Rfam family "Bacterial small subunit ribosomal RNA", at positions 367 to 951 of the family's 1533-position model. The record is from RNAcentral.
CGCAAUGGGCGAAACGUGNACGCAGCGACGCCGCGUGNAGGGAUGAAGGUUUUCGGAUCGUAAACCUCUGUCAGAAGGGAAGAAACCGCACCGUGCUAAUCAGCGGUGCAUUGACGGUACCUUCAAAGGAAGCACCGGCUAACUCCGUGCCAGCAGCCGCGGGUAAUACGGAGGGUGCAAGCGUUAAUCGGAAUUACUGGGCGUAAAGCGCACGUAGGCUGCUUUGUAAGUCAGGGGUGAAAUCCCACGGCUCAACCGUGGAACUGCCUUUGAUACUGCUUAGCUUGAAUCCGGGAGAGGGUGGCGGAAUUCCAGGUGUAGGAGUGAAAUCCGUAGAUAUCUGGAGGAACAUCAGUGGCGAAGGCGGCCACCUGGACCGGUAUUGACGCUGAGGUGCGAAASGUGGGGAGCAAACAGGAUUAGAUACCCUGGUAGUCCACACUGUAAACGAUGGAUGCUAGAUGUCGGGGAGUAUUCUUCGGUGUCGUAGUUAACGCGUUAAGCAUCCCGCCUGGGGAGUACGGUCGCAAGGCUGAAACUCAAAGAAAUUGACGGGGGCCCGCACAAGCGUGGGAGUAUGUGGUUUAAUU